Molecule: ribosomal RNA, 468 nt
Filed under: uncultured bacterium
Lineage: Bacteria
Description: partial 16S ribosomal RNA
Rfam family: Bacterial small subunit ribosomal RNA
Source: RNAcentral
GACGAACGCUGGCGGCGUGCUUAACACAUGCAAGUCGAACGGAAAGGCCCUGCUUUUGUGGGGUUCUCGAGUGGCGAACGGGUGAGUAACACGUGAGUAACCUGCCCUUGACUUUGGGAUAACUUCAGGAAACUGGGGCUAAUACCGGAUAGGAGCUCCUGCUGCAUGGUGGGGGUUGGAAAGUUUCGGCGGUUGGGGAUGGACUCGCGGCUUAUCAGCUUGUUGGUGGGGUAGUGGCUUACCAAGGCUUUGACGGGUAGCCGGCCUGAGAGGGUGACCGGCCACAUUGGGACUGAGAUACGGCCCAGACUCCUACGGGAGGCAGCAGUGGGGAAUAUUGCACAAUGGGCGGAAGCCUGAUGCAGCAACGCCGCGUGCGGGAUGACGGCCUUCGGGUUGUAAACCGCUUUCGCCUGUGACGAAGCGUGAGUGACGGUAAUGGGUAAAGAAGCAACGGCUAACUACGUG